AUGGGCGCAGCCUGAUGCAGCCAUGCCGCGUGUGUGAAGAAGCCUUCGGGUUGUAAAGCACUUUCAGUCAGGAGGAAAGGUCAGUAGUUAAUACCUGCUAGCUGUGACGUUACUGACAGAAGAAGCACCGGCUAACUCCGUGCCAGCAGCCGCGGUAAUACGGAGGGUGCGAGCGUUAAUCGGAAUUACUGGGCGUAAAGCGUACGCAGGCGGUUUUGUUAAGCGAGAUGUGAAAGCCCCGGGCUCAACCUGGGAACUGCAUUUCGAACUGGCAAACUAGAGUGUGAUAGAGGGUGGUAGAAUUUCAGGUGUAGCGGUGAAAUGCGUAGAGAUCUGAAGGAAUACCGAUGGCGAAGGCAGCCACCUGGGUCAACACUGACGCUCAUGUACGAAAGCGUGGGGAGCAAACAGGAUUAGAUACCCUGGUAGUCCACGCCGUAAACGAUGUCUACUAGAAGCUCGGAACCUCGGUUCUGUUUUUCAAAGCUAACGCAUUAAGUAGACCGCCUGGGGAGUACGGCCGCAAGGUU
This 530-nucleotide ribosomal RNA is filed under the name uncultured Gammaproteobacteria bacterium. RNAcentral's name for it is "bacterial SSU rRNA". It matches the Rfam family "Bacterial small subunit ribosomal RNA", at positions 371 to 895 of the family's 1533-position model. Lineage: Bacteria; Pseudomonadati; Pseudomonadota; Gammaproteobacteria. The record is from RNAcentral.